AGCAGCCGCGGUAAUUCCAGCUCCAAUAGCGUAUAUUAAAGUUGUUGCAGUUAAAAAGCUCGUAGUUGAAUUUCGGAGUUUAUCGGUUGGUCGGGCUUCAUUGUCCGCACUGGCCUGAUGGAUUCCUACCUUCUGAAUAACCAGCAUGCUAUUAAUUUAGUGCGUUGGGGAAGCAGAGCUAUUACCUUGAAAAAAUUAGAGUGCUUAAAGCAGGCUUAUGCUUGAAUAGAUUAGCAUGGAAUGAUAAAAUAGGACGGCUUGGUUCUAUUUUGUUGGUUUCUAGGAUCACCGUAAUGAUUAAUAGGGAUAGUUGGGGGCAUUAGUAUUCAAUUGUCAGAGGUGAAAUUCUUGGAUUUUAUUGAAGACUAACUUCUGCGAAAGCAUUUUGCCAAGGAUGUUUUCAUUAAUCAAGAACGAAAGUUAGGGAUCGAAGACGAUCAGAUACCGUCGUAGUCUUAACCAUAAACUAAUGCCGACUAGGGAUCGGACGAUUGUUAAUUUUUUAACUGUACUUACGUUC
Molecule: ribosomal RNA, 520 nt
Filed under: uncultured Acaulospora
Lineage: Eukaryota; Fungi; Glomeromycota; Glomeromycetes; Diversisporales; Acaulosporaceae
Description: SSU rRNA
Rfam family: Eukaryotic small subunit ribosomal RNA
Source: RNAcentral